AGCGUGACCCAGGAAAGAGUGGACUAAAAGACGGUCACCUGGCUGAAGGGCUGAGUUCCCAGCCAAAAAACUGCCCUAGCGACUAUCGGCGAGGGUGCUAGCCUAGCAAGAAAGCUGUGACACCAGGCCUGGCCAGGAAGGGGCACCUAUUGGCUCUGAACAAGGCCUGCCCAGACCCAUGGAUGCCAUGCUGAAGAGCUCACUGACUGCAACCCCCAGCACAGACAAACUCCAGCACAUCUUGGAGAACCCUGAUUGUCACCAUUCAUUGAGGAGCUGAACACCAGAUGGGAGCUGAGAGAUUGUCCUUGGUAGGCCAUGUCCUGGUGUGUGAUGGAGCUGUGUGCCAGAGAGGGCCAGGAGCAGAUGCCCACGCAUGGCCAGGACCGUGCUAAACAGCCUGUAAUGCCAGUCAGCUAGUGAUACCAGCUUGCAGUAUGUGGAAGAGCCGUUUGGUAAUGGGUGGAGGAUUCACCAUGUAAGUGGCAGCAGCUGCAGUGCCUGGAGUCCCCAUGGGCCAAGCCUCCACUCCUGACACUCCAGGCUAAUCUCCCACUGCUCUCAGGGGGCUUUGGCUUUAGCUGCUGGGCCUGAGUGGCCAGACAGAGGACUCAGGAAUUUCCAUCAGGCUGCUCAAUGGCAAAUGCAGCCAUCCAAAGAAUUGAAGAAUGCAAGCAAAAGAGCAAAGCUGGACCAUCCGCUGAGCUGCUGCAAUCAAGUGAGCAGAGCCAGGUAGAGAAGAGGGAGAACUUGAAUGUGGCUGGUGGCUGCAGGGAAGAAAAGCAGUUUGGGAGCCAGGA
Long non-coding RNA from Mauremys mutica (yellowpond turtle), 800 nucleotides. RefSeq lists it as uncharacterized. The transcript is spliced from 4 exons. NCBI's taxonomy places the organism in Eukaryota, Metazoa, Chordata, Testudines, Geoemydidae. The record is from RefSeq and is a predicted model, not a curated record.